Molecule: long non-coding RNA, 304 nt
Filed under: Bos taurus (domestic cattle)
Lineage: Eukaryota; Metazoa; Chordata; Mammalia; Artiodactyla; Bovidae
Description: long non-coding RNA NONBTAT012201
Source: RNAcentral
UACUUCCAAAUCUGUUACAUCUGUUCAGUUAAAUAUGUUGAUUGUUAGAACUUUUAGGCUAAAAGGAUGUUAAGGGUAUGUAAUCCAGAUUCCUUAUUUUCUUGAGAGAAAGGACUUCCAGUUUUGUGGACUGCAUUCACAUUUAUCAGUAGCACUCUGAUAAAUAUCAUAUUAGAAUUGGUUUGUUUUUUUUCUUUUUUUCCCUGCCUAUCUGUAUAUAGGCUCUCCCUACCAUAUCUUAUUCUUUGUAAUACUUCUACUUUAGGUCCUGUUUACCUCUGAUUUGGAAAGAGAGAGAGUCUUG